AAAAAAAACGCCAGACAUGCUGCCCCGCACAUGCCAAAUUGGACUCAUUGACUUUCUCAAUCCAGUAACCUCGGUUGCAAACUGUUAAAUCCCUACAGGAUCUCUUAAUUUGCUUAAGUGCCAUCUGACUAACACGGUGAUCAUAGACACACACACACACACACACACACACACACACACACACGCAAUAGCAGUAGUUAAUCACACAAAUAGACUGUGAAAAGACAUGGAGAUUAAUCACUGUCGACUACUGAGACAGUCGAGUCUGGACACUUGACCUCCAAACAAAAGUCUUCUUUGAAAUGGAGUCGACGCCAUAAAAGGAAUAACAUCGUAUGAGCAAAUGUUGCGACGGCACGCAAAUGUGUGUACCGAACCCGAUGACGGAACUGUUCAUUCGUAGGAGCCGAUUCAGUUUCACGGUUUAGGAAUCUUACUGUUAACCAGGACCUCGGGCCACCUAAUAUUCAAAGUGGAUUAUGUCAACUUUUUCAAGUACGGGUAAAGGCAGACCGACCAAGUUAAAGUGUUCUACGAGCAACACACCAAAGGAAAACCGCCAAUCAGCUGACUGGAAGUGACCAAUUAAAGUAUCCCAUUGCUGCGUUUGUUGUUGUUGUAGUUGUU
This is a long non-coding RNA of Hippocampus zosterae (dwarf seahorse), 627 nucleotides long. RefSeq lists it as uncharacterized. Lineage: Eukaryota; Metazoa; Chordata; Actinopteri; Syngnathiformes; Syngnathidae. The transcript has 3 exons. The record is from RefSeq and is a predicted model, not a curated record.